RNAcentral lists this ribosomal RNA (627 nucleotides) under Bacillus sp. W077. Its description in RNAcentral is "SSU rRNA". It matches the Rfam family "Bacterial small subunit ribosomal RNA", at positions 33 to 645 of the family's 1533-position model. The record is from RNAcentral. Lineage: Bacteria; Bacillati; Bacillota; Bacilli; Caryophanales; Bacillaceae.
ACGCUGGCGGCGUGCCUAAUACAUGCAAGUCGAGCGAAUCUGAGGGAGCUUGCUCCCAAAGAUUAGCGGCGGACGGGUGAGUAACACGUGGGCAACCUGCCUGUAAGACUGGGAUAACUCCGGGAAACCGGGGCUAAUACCGGAUAAUAUCUAUUUAUACAUAUAAUUAGAUUGAAAGAUGGUUCUGCUAUCACUUACAGAUGGGCCCGCGGCGCAUUAGCUAGUUGGUGAGGUAACGGCUCACCAAGGCGACGAUGCGUAGCCGACCUGAGAGGGUGAUCGGCCACACUGGGACUGAGACACGGCCCAGACUCCUACGGGAGGCAGCAGUAGGGAAUCUUCCGCAAUGGACGAAAGUCUGACGGAGCAACGCCGCGUGAGUGAUGAAGGUUUUCGGAUCGUAAAACUCUGUUGUUAGGGAAGAACAAGUACCGGAGUAACUGCCGGUACCUUGACGGUACCUAACCAGAAAGCCACGGCUAACUACGUGCCAGCAGCCGCGGUAAUACGUAGGUGGCAAGCGUUGUCCGGAAUUAUUGGGCGUAAAGCGCGCGCAGGCGGUUCCUUAAGUCUGAUGUGAAAGCCCACGGCUCACCGUGGAGGGUCAUUGGAAACUGGGGAACUUGA